AUUACAGAGCGUGAGGCUCAGUCGCGGCGUCUGCCAUGUGCUGGGCCGACCCUCCCACCCGUGUCGAUUUAUUGAUUGUUGCUUUGGCGGGCCGGGACCGUCCACGUCGCUCGCAGUGACGUGUGCGAACUGCCCACCGGCUUUGGCUGGAGCGUGCCCGCCAAAGACCCAUCCCCAAACUCAUAUUGUCCUGCAGUCUAAGUGAUAUUAUAUAAUUGAUAAAACUUUCAACAACGGAUCUCUUGGCUCUGGCAUCGAUGAAGAACGCAGCGAAAUGCGAUAAGUAAUGUGAAUUGCAGAAUUUAGUGAAUCAUCGAAUCUUUGAACGCACAUUGCGCCCCUUGGUAUUCCGAGGGGCAUGCCUGUUCGAGCGUCAUAACACCCCCUCGAGCUACAAUUGUGUGGCUGUGGUGUUGGGGCUCGCCGCGCCUCGCGGUGGCUCUUAAAGACAGUGGCGGUCCCGGCGUGGGCUCUACGCGUAGUACUUUUGAUUCUCGCGACAGAGUGACGACGAAGAUCAGCCAAAACCCCCCAACCUUUAAUCAAGUCCGGUAAAUACGGAUUUACAGGUUGACCUCGAAUCAGGUAGGAAUACCCGCUGAAC
This 604-nucleotide ribosomal RNA is filed under the name Erysiphe glycines. Its description in RNAcentral is "eukaryotic LSU rRNA". The stretch from base 223 to 376 matches the Rfam family "5.8S ribosomal RNA". Lineage: Eukaryota; Fungi; Ascomycota; Leotiomycetes; Helotiales; Erysiphaceae. The record is from RNAcentral.